Molecule: ribosomal RNA, 254 nt
Filed under: uncultured bacterium
Lineage: Bacteria
Description: partial 16S ribosomal RNA
Rfam family: Bacterial small subunit ribosomal RNA
Source: RNAcentral
GACGAACCGUGCGAACGUUAUUCGGAAUCACUGGGCUUAAAGGGCGCGUAGGCGGGCUCGUAAGUCAGGGGUGAAAUCCCACGGCCCAACCGUGGAAGUGCCUUUGAUACUGCGGGCCUCGAGGGGGAUAGGGGCGUGCGGAACUCGGGGUGGAGCGGUGAAAUGCGUAGAGAUCCGGCGGAACACCGGUGGUGAAGGCGGUCUCCUGGGCCGAGGGCCGACGCUGAGGCGCGAGAGCGUGGGGAGCGAACCGG